CUGUCGACCUGCAAAUAAGUUAAAUUUAUUUCAAGGCCAAAUGCACGAUUUUAUAGUUUAUCGAUCAUUGUGUCGCCACCUACGUUUGGAAGGUAAGUAACUCUUUGUAACAUGAAGGAAAUCAAGGAAGUAUAACAACAAGUCAACUUUUGCUUUGAAAAAUAUUGGAAACUAAAAAGACAGCAUUUUCUUUGGUCAAAAGCCUCCUGACAACAUCAGAUGGAGGAAGCAAAAGUUGUAACAAUGCUAAAAUUUGGAAAAAUAAAAGAAACAUCACUGUAGCUAAAACAUAUUCAAACAGACACACGAAAUGUUAGCGCAACAUGCUGUCCGAACAACAUAAUAACAGGAUGUGUUACCGCUGAUCCCGCAGUCGGACCAGAACUUCCAGGAGUGAACAAGUCAGUAAAACGAAACAAAAAUCAAAUACCAAAAAUAUCAAGUCAAGAACAUAACUGCAAGAAACUUUCGCAAAAGCUGCCGGAUAAUGAGCAUACAAGCUGGACCGAUACCACUGAGACAGACAAGCACAUUUUAUCAAACAACUGCGAAGAACA
Mercenaria mercenaria is the source of this 557-nucleotide long non-coding RNA. RefSeq lists it as uncharacterized. The transcript is spliced from 3 exons. NCBI's taxonomy places the organism in Eukaryota, Metazoa, Mollusca, Bivalvia, Venerida, Veneridae. The record is from RefSeq and is a predicted model, not a curated record.